This 52-nucleotide ribosomal RNA is filed under the name Paratrichaptum accuratum. Its description in RNAcentral is "partial 28S ribosomal RNA". The record is from RNAcentral. Lineage: Eukaryota; Fungi; Basidiomycota; Agaricomycetes; Hymenochaetales; Schizoporaceae.
UGACCUCAAAUCAGGUAGGAUUACCCGCUGAACUUAAGCAUAUCAAUAAGCG